Long non-coding RNA from Etheostoma cragini (Arkansas darter), 73 nucleotides. RefSeq lists it as uncharacterized. Lineage: Eukaryota; Metazoa; Chordata; Actinopteri; Perciformes; Percidae. The transcript has 3 exons. The record is from RefSeq and is a predicted model, not a curated record.
CACAGCUGUUUGAAAAGCCUUGUGUGUCGGUAUCAGACACUGAGGGCCACUGACCAAGCUGCCGUAUUUGACG